UAGGGAAUCUUCCACAAUGGACGCAAGUCUGAUGGAGCAACGCCGCGUGAGUGAAGAAGGUUUUCGGACCGUAAAGCUCUGUUGUUGGUGAAGAAGGAUAGAGGUAGUAACUGGCCCUUUAUUUGACGGUAAUCAACCAGAAAGUCACGGCUAACUACGUGCCAGCAGCCGCGGUAAAUCGUAGGUGGCAAGCGUUGUCCGGAUUUAUUGGGCGUAAAGCGAGCGCAGGCGGAAGAAUAAGUCUGAUGUGAAAGCCCUCGGCUUAACCGAGGAAUUGCAUCGGAAACUGUUUUCUUGAGUGCAGAAGAGGAGAGUAGAACUCCAUGUGUAGCGGUGGAAUGCGUAGAUAUAUGGAAGAAUACCAGUGGCGAAGGCGGCUCUCUGGUCUGCAACUGACGCUGAGGCUCGAAAGCAUGGGUAGCGAACAGGAUUAGAUACCCUGGUAGUCCAUGCCGUAAACGAUGAGUGCUAAGUGUUGGGAGGCUUCCGCCUCUCAGUGCUGCAGCUAACGCAUUAAGCACUCCGCCUGGGGGAGUACGACCGCAAGG
RNAcentral lists this ribosomal RNA (548 nucleotides) under uncultured bacterium. RNAcentral's name for it is "partial 16S ribosomal RNA". It matches the Rfam family "Bacterial small subunit ribosomal RNA", at positions 355 to 893 of the family's 1533-position model. The record is from RNAcentral.